AUGCUUUCAGGGGGAAAAGGAAAAAACUCGCUUCUGAGCAGCGCCCUGAGUUGCUUUGUUAACUGCUAGCGCUUCCCCACAACCCUGAGAUUUGGAAGGAUGCUGUGUUGGGAAUCGCUGAUCUGAAACAGUGUGCUUCCCUCUGUGCCUCCCUAGUAUGUGCCUCUUCCUAGAGACUGAUGCCUGGGAAGAUGAGCAGUCUGGGAACGGAGUCACUUGAGGACCUAUGGGAGACUGGACCUGCUUAGCCAACUCUGUGAGAUACUCGAGACCCCCAUGAGUCACUAAAUGUCCCACUGCAGUGGUACCAAAGAUUUAUCUCUUCCUUCUUGAAUUUUCA
Molecule: long non-coding RNA, 340 nt
Filed under: Papio anubis (olive baboon)
Lineage: Eukaryota; Metazoa; Chordata; Mammalia; Primates; Cercopithecidae
Description: lncRNA (ENSPANG00000037038.1)
Source: RNAcentral